Molecule: ribosomal RNA, 253 nt
Filed under: uncultured bacterium
Lineage: Bacteria
Description: partial 16S ribosomal RNA
Rfam family: Bacterial small subunit ribosomal RNA
Source: RNAcentral
UACGGGGGGAGCAAGCGUUGUUCGGAUUUACUGGGCGUAAAGCGCGUGUAGGCGGCUUUGCAAGUCGGAUGUGAAAUCCCACGGCUCAACCGUGGAAGUGCAUCCGAAACUGCAUCGCUGGAGUCUCGGAGAGGAAGGUGGAAUGCUUGGUGUAGAGGUGAAAUUCGUAGAUAUCAAGCAGAACACCUGCGGCGAAGGCGGCCUUCUGGACGAUGACUGACGCUGAGACGCGAAAGCGUGGGGAGCAAACAGG